RNAcentral lists this ribosomal RNA (560 nucleotides) under Serratia sp. C4-5. Its description in RNAcentral is "bacterial SSU rRNA". It matches the Rfam family "Bacterial small subunit ribosomal RNA", at positions 137 to 692 of the family's 1533-position model. Lineage: Bacteria; Pseudomonadati; Pseudomonadota; Gammaproteobacteria; Enterobacterales; Yersiniaceae. The record is from RNAcentral.
AGGGGGAUAACUACUGGAAACGGUAGCUAAUACCGCAUGAUGUCGCAAGACCAAAGUGGGGGACCUUCGGGCCUCACGCCAUCGGAUGUGCCCAGAUGGGAUUAGCUAGUAGGUGGGGUAAUGGCUCACCUAGGCGACGAUCCCUAGCUGGUCUGAGAGGAUGACCAGCCACACUGGAACUGAGACACGGUCCAGACUCCUACGGGAGGCAGCAGUGGGGAAUAUUGCACAAUGGGCGCAAGCCUGAUGCAGCCAUGCCGCGUGUGUGAAGAAGGCCUUAGGGUUGUAAAGCACUUUCAGCGAGGAGGAAGGCGCUGUAGUUAAUAGCUGCAGCGAUUGACGUUACUCGCAGAAGAAGCACCGGCUAACUCCGUGCCAGCAGCCGCGGUAAUACGGAGGGUGCAAGCGUUAAUCGGAAUUACUGGGCGUAAAGCGCACGCAGGCGGUUUGUUAAGUCAGAUGUGAAAUCCCCGAGCUUAACUUGGGAACUGCAUUUGAAACUGGCAAGCUAGAGUCUUGUAGAGGGGGGUAGAAUUCCAGGUGUAGCGGUGAAAUGCGUA